AAAUUGAAGAGUUUGAUCAUGGCUCAGAUUGAACGCUGGCGGCAGGCCUAACACAUGCAAGUCGAACGGUAACAGGAAGCAGCUUGCUGCUUCGCUGACGAGUGGCGGACGGGUGAGUAAUGUCUGGGAAACUGCCUGAUGGAGGGGGAUAACUACUGGAAACGGUAGCUAAUACCGCAUAACGUCGCAAGACCAAAGAGGGGGACCUUCGGGCCUCUUGCCAUCGGAUGUGCCCAGAUGGGAUUAGCUUGUUGGUGGGGUAACGGCUCACCAAGGCGACGAUCCCUAGCUGGUCUGAGAGGAUGACCAGCCACACUGGAACUGAGACACGGUCCAGACUCCUACGGGAGGCAGCAGUGGGGAAUAUUGCACAAUGGGCGCAAGCCUGAUGCAGCCAUGCCGCGUGUAUGAAGAAGGCCUUCGGGUUGUAAAGUACUUUCA
RNAcentral lists this ribosomal RNA (441 nucleotides) under Escherichia coli. RNAcentral describes it as "bacterial SSU rRNA". It matches the Rfam family "Bacterial small subunit ribosomal RNA", at positions 1 to 438 of the family's 1533-position model. Lineage: Bacteria; Pseudomonadati; Pseudomonadota; Gammaproteobacteria; Enterobacterales; Enterobacteriaceae. The record is from RNAcentral. RNAcentral also lists the same sequence under 1 other name.